GCGCCCGCUGUGUAGCGCGGGUCACCACUAGAGCCGGAGCGCUUCGGGUAUGUAGGACGCUCGUUGAGCGUCGGUCUACGGAACCGAAGGUCACAGGUUCGAAUCCUGUCGGGCGCG
Molecule: transfer RNA, 117 nt
Filed under: Actinomycetota bacterium
Lineage: Bacteria; Bacillati; Actinomycetota
Description: tRNA-Arg
Rfam family: tRNA (bases 57-117)
About the family: Transfer RNA (tRNA) molecules are approximately 80 nucleotides in length.
Source: RNAcentral